UUCAUACGGUACCUUCAAAUCCCUACACGUAGAGACAAUUAUUCCCGUAAAAAAGCAGUUUACAACCCAUAGGGCCGUCAUCCUGCACGCGACAUGGCUGGUUCAGGCUUGCGCCCAU
This 118-nucleotide ribosomal RNA is filed under the name uncultured bacterium. RNAcentral's name for it is "partial 16S ribosomal RNA". The record is from RNAcentral.